UAAGAUGUACAAAUGAUUGCUUAAGAUUACAUCAAUACUAUAAAUACAGAAAAUUCAAUACUAUAAUACAUAUAUUUAAUAUACUACCAGGACCAUUUGGCUUCAUUCCCUAUACCAAACUUCAGGUAUAUUAAUCCAUCAGUUCAAGUGAUAAAUCUUUCAUGUGUUGUGCAAGAGGAUUGAAUCCUUGCAUCAGGAACCAUUAAUUUCUUGAAACCUGAAAUCCAUGAUAAGUUAGAAAAAUAUUUUCAUAGAUGAAGCAAAAGGCCAGCACAUAGAAACAGUAAUGUCAGGGAAUAGAGAUUCAAGGCCAGAUUGGCUUCAGAAUAAGGGUUAAGAAAUCCUCCAAAGCAAAGAGAAGAAAGCAAAAUAGCUUAAAUUGGAGAGAAAAAAGUAGAAAGCAAACAAAUGCAGCAAAGUUGGCCUAUCUCUCUCGAAACAACCAUUUGCAGAGGCCACAAACACAAUUCUACUAUUCUACCCUGAAGCAUGGUGAGUAGAAGAGAGGCAACGUUAGCAUUAUGAGCUUGUUAAUUAACAAAACAAACUUUUCAUUUAUGUUGAUGAAGUCAAGAAAACACAAGGGUUUUAUGUCUAAAUAAAAGUAAAAUGCUGAUCUGAAGAAAAUGUCUAAAACUCUCAGUAGGCAGAGAAAAUUUUUGCCCACAGAAAUGUGACAGACUCAAUAAACAAUGUAAUCAAUUCGUACAUGGCUCCACUUAUAUAAACAGACAAUUUCAUAAGCUAUAUAUCAUCAAAGUACAGAACGAAAAAAGAUAAGUAUUAUAUAUUACAAAACAAAGAUGCAAAUUGGAGUUCAAAUGAUAUUUGUGGGAUCACAUUUUUUAUGAGACAGAAACAAAAGCAAUAUGAGGAAGGUACUAUUCUAUCUGAUAUUCUGAUGACAUGGAAUUGUUCUGGCAGAAAAACUGAAAUGUAUUUGUAAUAAUAAACAUAUAAGAAACGUUUUUAUGGGUAUAACAAAAAACUUAUCUGAAGUAACGCAUGGCCCACACUGGCCACAUAGGACUCUGAAAUAACCACAGCUUAAAAUUACGUUAAAAACACAAUAAAGUAACAUUGAGACUAGUACAACUUAAGGUAGAUGGCUCACUCUAGAUGCAUUCUGAAGCAACAACAAUAACUACACAAAUAGACACACUGAUAACAAGUGAAAAAGUGACCUCUUGGUCACAAAAAGUCUACUUUAUCCUUAUGUUGAGACACAUCUUAAAUCACCCACCAGUAGCAUAUUGAAAUUCGAUUGCAACCCAAAAUCAGAAAUGCUGGUAAUAAACCCUACCCAAAAAAGUCUUCAUAGCUUAUAGUAAAAUAAAAAUACUAUUUUUAAUCAACAAAUGCAAAACCCAGUGAGAAAAAAAUUGGAACAACUCCCAAAAAAAGCAACGAGGACUAAAAAGGAAAAAAAAUGAGAAAUGGGUAAGAAUGAAGAGGAUAAAAAAAGUACCUUGAUGGAAGAAACGAUGAGAUGAGGAAGUGGGCAUUGCAAUAGUGAGGUUUGGUGUGUGGAGAGAGAAGAAAAAGAAGAAGAGAAUAAUGGAAGGUGAG
RNAcentral lists this long non-coding RNA (1569 nucleotides) under Lupinus angustifolius (narrow-leaved blue lupine). Its description in RNAcentral is "long non-coding RNA (LANG_LNC000188)". Lineage: Eukaryota; Viridiplantae; Streptophyta; Magnoliopsida; Fabales; Fabaceae. The record is from RNAcentral.